UUAACAACCAGUAGAAAAACAAUGCAGCCGGGCCUGUUGAGUAUGUGACAUCGAUGCCGCACAAAUUGCGUCUGUCAAAUAAUGUUGGCGACUAUCUCAACAGGGCCAGGAUAAAAUGCGGACGCGGAACGCGGACUGCGGACAGGAGAAACUGCGGACUUUCACCUGCGGACUGGCCCAAAAUUUUUGACAGCAGUCCGCAGUUUCUCCACAGGGUAGCUGUCCGCAGUCCGCGUAUUAUACGGGGAUACAGCAUUCCAUAUAGACAUGUCUAUGCGUUGGUAAGGCAGAAAAUUGGCAUUGAAUUUACUCUAGUCAAGACAGAUCAACCUUAUUUUUGUCAUGCAUUGGCUGUUGUUCGAUAACUGUUGCUUUUUAAAAAUAUGUAUGCAUGCAACAAUUCCAAUGAAUAAAAAUAAAAAUGCGCACAGCUCUUAGCAGCUGACUAUUUGUUUUUUUUUUUUCCUAUAGGCCAAAUCCAUUAUAUUCUAUUUUCUUUUAUGCACAACUAAGAAUUUGAAUUAGACAACCGUAGCGCAGUUAAGUCGUCCUUCAGAAGGCGGCAAUGUGGUACCAAACUUUGCAAAGAAUGGUACCACAAGGAAUUUCUUCCAAAAGAACAGCAUUAUGCCUUUCAGGAAUUUUUAAAAACCCCUUGGAAAUACCCCAAAUCCUUUUAAGUUUAUUACAUGUUUUAUUUGCAUUGUUGUACCAAGAGUUUACCUAGUUAAGAAGUAACCAUGUUAUAUAAACUGUCCUUUACUUUCAUAUUUUGAAUAAUGCAUAUGUUGACUUUUAAAUACUAUUUUUAGUUUGAAAUUUAAUAUCAGAUAUGGGCAUGGAGUCCGCAGAUACCAGUCCGCAGUUUAUCCUGUCCGGUCCGCACUUUCAAUCGCUCCAUUCCGCAGGUGAAAGUCCGCAGUUUCUCCUGUCCGCAGUCCGCGGUCCGCGUCCGCAUUUUAUCCUGGCCCUAUCUCAACAAGGUCUCUGACUGAGCAAGGCCUACUUAAUGCUUAAGGCCUGUAAACUCGUAUACCUCCUAUGGCGGUGACGCGUUACAUGGCAACAGAGUCAUAGAGGGGAU
This is an RNA transcript of Daphnia magna, 1084 nucleotides long. RefSeq lists it as uncharacterized. The transcript is spliced from 3 exons. Lineage: Eukaryota; Metazoa; Arthropoda; Branchiopoda; Diplostraca; Daphniidae. The record is from RefSeq and is a predicted model, not a curated record.